Astyanax mexicanus (Mexican tetra) is the source of this 1070-nucleotide long non-coding RNA. RefSeq lists it as uncharacterized. The record is from RefSeq and is a predicted model, not a curated record. The transcript has 6 exons. Lineage: Eukaryota; Metazoa; Chordata; Actinopteri; Characiformes; Acestrorhamphidae.
AGAGUCUGGAACAUCUCAUCUGCACGUCUCCUGCAUCACUGCGGCUGCGUCCCAAUUGCAUACGGCACACUUAUACUCUAAGUACUGCAUUAAACGAAGUGCUGGGGACAGAUGCACAAUGGGAGAUGGCAGGAGUUUGGACUGAUUGUCUGCUGUUCUACAAGCAAAACCAGCUGAUCAGACCCAAUCCCACUGAUUAAACCACUGAAACGGACGGAUUGAUAUACGGACGGACGGACGGACGGAUCAAGUGCGAGUUUCCUUAUAGGACUUUUAUUUUGGCAUUGGCCGUUAGCACAUCCACGACCACAGUGUCAUCAGCCCCCUCAUCAUCAUCACUUGGCCUCUGCUGGCAUUUUGCACAUCAUUAGAAUCUGUUUCAGGGCUUUCUGCACAUCUUCAUCCAUCUGACCCUGAAACACAAAAUCACAGUAUAUAUUAACUUAGCCGAGAACAACACUGUUACAGUUAUACAUAUAAAUUAUUCUUAAAUUAGAAUAUUGUAAUGCGCUGAGUUACGUGAGUGUGUCGUCUCUCACUUACACACUUAUCUCUCUACUUCUCAUAGAUGUUGAGAUUGUGAGAUGUAGAGAGAGUGAGAGGUAGAGAGUGUGAGAGGUAGAGAGUGUGAGAGGUAGAGAGUGAGAGGUAGAGAGUGUGAGAUGUAGAGAGAGUGAGAGAGGUAGAGAGUGAGAGGUAGAGAGAGUGAGAGAGGUAGAGAGUGUGAGAUGUAGAGAGAGUGAGAGAGGUAGAGAGUGAGAGGUAGAGAGAGUGAGAGAGGUAGAGAGUGAGAGAGGUAGAGAGUGAGAGGUAGAGAGAGUGAGAGAGGUAGAGAGUGUGAGAUAGGUAGAGAGUGUGAGAGAGGUAGAGAGUGUGAGAGGUGUUUUAUGCUUUGGCAAUAGGUUUGACUCUUACAUUCAUGCCAAUAAAGCACUGUUGAACUGAACUGAGAGGUGUAGAGAGGUAGAGAGUGUGUGAGAGGUAGAGUGUUAGAUGUAGAGUGUGUGAGAGGGGUAGAGCAUGUGUUCUGUAUAAAGUGUGAGAUGUAGAAAGAGUGAGAGAAGUGAAAG